RNAcentral lists this ribosomal RNA (556 nucleotides) under Fructobacillus tropaeoli. Its description in RNAcentral is "bacterial SSU rRNA". It matches the Rfam family "Bacterial small subunit ribosomal RNA", at positions 110 to 654 of the family's 1533-position model. The record is from RNAcentral. Lineage: Bacteria; Bacillati; Bacillota; Bacilli; Lactobacillales; Lactobacillaceae.
GUAACACGUGAAUAACCUACCGAAAAGCAGGGGAUAACAUUUGGAAACAGAUGCUAAUACCGUAUAAAACGUGCUGUCGCAUGACAAAACGUUAAAAGGUCCGUUUGGACCACUUUUUGAUGGAUUCGCGGUGCAUUAGUUAGUUGGUGGGGUAAAGGCCCACCAAGACGAUGAUGCAUAGCCGAGUUGAGAGACUGACCGGCCACAUUGGGACUGAGACACGGCCCAAACUCCUACGGGAGGCUGCAGUAGGGAAUCUUCCACAAUGGGCGCAAGCCUGAUGGAGCAACGCCGCGUGUGUGAUGAAGGCUUUCGGGUCGUAAAGCACUGUUGUAUGGGAAGAACGGUAAGGGUAGGAAAUGACCUUUACAUGACGGUACCAUACCAGAAAGGGACGGCUAAAUACGUGCCAGCAGCCGCGGUAAUACGUAUGUCCCGAGCGUUAUCCGGAUUUAUUGGGCGUAAAGCGAGCGCAGACGGUUCGAUAAGUCUGAAGUGAAAGCCCACAGCUCAACUGUGGAAGUGCUUUGGAAACUGUCGAACUUGAGUGCAGUAG